UACGGGGGGGGCAAGCGUUGUUCGGAAUUACUGGGCGUAAAGGGCUCGUAGGCGGCCAACUAAGUCAGACGUGAAAUCCCUCGGCUUAACCGGGGAACUGCGUCUGAUACUGGAUGGCUUGAAUCCGGGAGAGGGAUGCGGAAUUCCAGGUGUAGCGGUGAAAUGCGUAGAUAUCCGGAGGAACACCGGUGGCGAAGGCGGCUUCCUGGACCGAUCACUGACGCUGAGGCGCGAAAGCGUGGGGAGCAAACAGG
RNAcentral lists this ribosomal RNA (254 nucleotides) under uncultured bacterium. RNAcentral describes it as "partial 16S ribosomal RNA". It matches the Rfam family "Bacterial small subunit ribosomal RNA", at positions 524 to 776 of the family's 1533-position model. The record is from RNAcentral.